This 496-nucleotide ribosomal RNA is filed under the name uncultured bacterium. RNAcentral describes it as "partial 16S ribosomal RNA". It matches the Rfam family "Bacterial small subunit ribosomal RNA", at positions 28 to 507 of the family's 1533-position model. The record is from RNAcentral.
GAUGAACGCUGGCGGCGUGCCUAAUACAUGCAAGUCGAGCGAACAGACGAGGAGCUUGCUCCUCUGACGUUAGCGGCGGACGGGUGAGUAACACGUGGAUAACCUACCUAUAGACUGGGAUAACUUCGGGAAACCGGUGCUAAUACCGGAUAAUAUAUUGAACCGCAUGGUUCAAUAGUGAAAGACGGUUUUGCUGUCACUUAUAGAUGGAUCCGCGCCGCAUUAGCUAGUUGGUAAGGUAACGGCUUACCAAGGCAACGAUGCGUAGCCGACCUGAGAGGGUGAUCGGCCACACUGGAACUGAGACACGGUCCAGACUCCUACGGGAGGCAGCAGUAGGGAAUCUUCCGCAAUGGGCGAAAGCCUGACGGAGCAACGCCGCGUGAGUGAUGAAGGUCUUCGGAUCGUAAAACUCUGUUAUUAGGGAAGAACAAAUGUGUAAGUAACUAUGCACGUCUUGACGGUACCUAAUCAGAAAGCCACGGCUAACUACGUG